This 253-nucleotide ribosomal RNA is filed under the name uncultured bacterium. RNAcentral's name for it is "partial 16S ribosomal RNA". It matches the Rfam family "Bacterial small subunit ribosomal RNA", at positions 524 to 776 of the family's 1533-position model. The record is from RNAcentral.
UACGGAGGGUGCAAGCGUUAAUCGGAAUUACUGGGCGUAAAGCGCGCGUAGGCGGCGAUUUAAGUCGGAUGUGAAAGCCCUGGGCUCAACCUGGGAACUGCAUCCGAUACUGGGUCGCUCGAGUAUGGUAGAGGGUUGUGGAAUUCCACGUGUAGCGGUGAAAUGCGUAGAUAUGUGGAGGAACAUCAGUGGCGAAGGCGGCAACCUGGACCAAUACUGACGCUGAGGUGCGAAAGCGUGGGGAGCGAACAGG